Molecule: ribosomal RNA, 317 nt
Filed under: uncultured Polyporales
Lineage: Eukaryota; Fungi; Basidiomycota; Agaricomycetes; Polyporales
Description: partial large subunit ribosomal RNA
Rfam family: Eukaryotic large subunit ribosomal RNA
Source: RNAcentral
AUAUCAGUAGCGGAGGAAAAGAAACUAACAAGGAUUCCCCUAGUAACGGCGAGUGAAGCGGGAAAAGCUCAAAUUUAAAAUCUGGCGUGCCUUUGGUCGUCCGAGUUGUAGUCUAGAGAGGCACUUUCUGUGCUGGACCGUGUAAAAGUUUCUUGGAACAGAGCAUCAUAGAGGGUGAGAAUCCCGUCUUGACACGGAUUACCAGUGCUAUGUGAUGUGCUCUUCAAAGAGUCGAGUUGUUUGGGAAUGCAGCUCAAAAUGGGUGGUAAAUUCCAUCUAAAGCUAAAUAUUGGCGAGAGACCGAUAGCGCACAAGUA